Molecule: ribosomal RNA, 417 nt
Filed under: uncultured bacterium
Lineage: Bacteria
Description: bacterial SSU rRNA
Rfam family: Bacterial small subunit ribosomal RNA
Source: RNAcentral
AUGGGAACGCGAAGAACCUUACCUACUCUUGACAUCCAGAGAACUUUCCAAAGAUGGAUUGGUGCCUUCGGGAACUCUGAGACAGGUGCUGCAUGGCUGUCGUCAGCUCGUGUUGUGAAAUGUUGGGUUAAGUCCCGCAACGAGCGCAACCCUUAUCCUUUGUUGCCAGCGGUUAGGCCGGGAACUCAAAGGAGACUGCCAGUGAUAAACUGGAGGAAGGUGGGGAUGGACGUCAAGUCAUCAUGGCCCUUACGAGUAGGGCUACACACGUGCUACAAUGGCGCAUACAAAGAGAAGCGACCUCGCGAGAGCAAGCGGACCUCAUAAAGUGCGUCGUAGUCCGGAUUGGAGUCUGCAACUCGACUCCAUGAAGUCGGAAUCGCUAGUAAUCGUAGAUCAGAAUGCUACGGUGAAUAC